CCCUCGGGGCCCAACCUCCCACCCGUGUAUACCGUACCUUGUUGCUUCGGCGGGCCCGCCGCGCAAGCGGCCGCCGGGGGGGCGUCAAACCCCCCUCCCUAGGCGAGCGCCCGCCGGAGACACCAACGUGAACACUGUCUGAAGUUUUGUUGUCUGAGUUCGAUUGUAUCGCAAUCAGUUAAAACUUUCAACAAUGGAUCUCUUGGUUCCGGCAUCGAUGAAGAACGCAGCGAAAUGCGAUAAUUAAUGUGAAUUGCAGAAUUCAGUGAAUCAUCGAGUCUUUGAACGCACAUUGCACCCCCUGGUAUUCCGGGGGGUAUGCCUGUCCGAGCGUCAUUGCUGCCCUCAAGCACGGCUUGUGUGUUGGGUCGUCGUCCCCCCUCCCGGGGGGGACGGGCCCGAAAGGCAGCGGCGGCACCGCGUCCGGUCCUCGAGCGUAUGGGGCUUUGUCACCCGCUCUUGUAGGCCCGGCCGGCGCUGGCCGACGCUGAAAAGCAACCAACUAUUUCUCCAGGUUGACCUCGGAUCAGGUAG
This 534-nucleotide unclassified non-coding RNA is filed under the name Aspergillus sp. RNAcentral's name for it is "sequence contains ITS1, 5.8S rRNA gene, ITS2". The stretch from base 183 to 336 matches the Rfam family "5.8S ribosomal RNA". Lineage: Eukaryota; Fungi; Ascomycota; Eurotiomycetes; Eurotiales; Aspergillaceae. The record is from RNAcentral.